Molecule: long non-coding RNA, 221 nt
Filed under: Homo sapiens (human)
Lineage: Eukaryota; Metazoa; Chordata; Mammalia; Primates; Hominidae
Description: HSALNT0068174
Source: RNAcentral
GACCGUCCCGCACCACCAGCACAGCCCUGGCAGCCUUGCCUCGUGCCUUCCCCUCAUGCGCUCCGGCCUCCUCGCAGGCCUGGCUUCGUCUCUGGAGUAGUUCUCUGCACCUAGAACUCCCCACAGCCAUGCUGCUCGCGCCCACACCCUUGGGAAGCCAGGCCUUCCCUGGCCCACACUGUGCCGUGCUCCCUGCGUUUUGUCUGUGGUGCUGACCCCCG